UAAUACAGAGGGUGCUAACGUUGUUCGGAAUCACUGGGCAUAAAGCGCACGUAGGCGGCUUGGUAAGUGCGGUGUGAAAGCCCCCGGCCUAACCGGGGAACUGCAUCGCAGACUGCCAGGCUCGAGAGCGGGAGGGGAGACUGGAACUCCUGGUGGAGCGGUGAAAUGCGUAGAUAUCAGGAGGAACACCGGUGGUGAAAACGAGUCUCUGGUCCGCUUCUGACGCUCAGGUGCGAAAGCUAGGGGAGCAAACGGGAUUAGAUACCCCGGUAGUCCUAGCCGUAAACGAUGGGCACUAGCUAGAGGUGACCCUGCGUCGUCUCUGGUGUAGCAAAUGUGUUAAGUGCCCCGCCUGGGGAGUAUGGUCGCAAGGCUG
Molecule: ribosomal RNA, 376 nt
Filed under: uncultured bacterium
Lineage: Bacteria
Description: bacterial SSU rRNA
Rfam family: Bacterial small subunit ribosomal RNA
Source: RNAcentral